Grammomys surdaster is the source of this 77-nucleotide small nucleolar RNA. RefSeq annotates it as small nucleolar RNA SNORD115. The transcript has a single exon. The record is from RefSeq and is a predicted model, not a curated record. Lineage: Eukaryota; Metazoa; Chordata; Mammalia; Rodentia; Muridae.
GGAUCAAUGAUGAAAGCCAAAUGUCACGAAGAGAGGUGAUGACAUCAAAAUAAUCAUCUAGGUGUACACUGAGGUCC